RNAcentral lists this ribosomal RNA (456 nucleotides) under Lasaea sp. DOF-02-2000. RNAcentral describes it as "partial 16S ribosomal RNA". It matches the Rfam family "Bacterial large subunit ribosomal RNA", at positions 1830 to 2595 of the family's 2925-position model. Lineage: Eukaryota; Metazoa; Mollusca; Bivalvia; Galeommatida; Lasaeidae. The record is from RNAcentral.
UUAGUGAUUGUUGAUUAGGGGUUGGGCCUGCCCGGUGAGUGUUUAACGGCCGCAGUUAGUAACUGUGCUAAGGUAGCGUAGUAAGUUGUCCUUUAAUUGGGGAAAGGAAUGAAUGGUUUGACGUAGGAAAUUCUGUCUCUUGAGGAGGUAUUGAAAUUUUCUUUUAAGUGAAAAGACUGGAAUAAAAUUAAAAGACGAGAAGACCCUUUCGAGCUUAAUUAUAUAAUACAUAUUAGUGUUAUGAAAAUUUGGUUGGGGCAACCGAGGAGCAAGAUGAGACUCCUUGAAGUAGUAUGGAUCCAAAAGUUUUGAAUAAAGAAAAAGCUACCGUAGGGAUAACAGCGUUAUCUUUUCUGAGAGAACAAAUUGAAGGAAAGGUUUGCGACCUCGAUGUUGAAUUAGAGUUUCCGAUGGGCGCAGAAGCUCAGAUGGUAAGACUGUUCGUCUUUUAAAACU